This 253-nucleotide ribosomal RNA is filed under the name uncultured bacterium. Its description in RNAcentral is "partial 16S ribosomal RNA". It matches the Rfam family "Bacterial small subunit ribosomal RNA", at positions 524 to 776 of the family's 1533-position model. The record is from RNAcentral.
UACGGGGGGGGCAAGCGUUGUUCGGAAUUACUGGGCGUAAAGGGCUCGUAGGCGGCCAACUAAGUCAGACGUGAAAUCCCUCGGCUUAACCGGGGAACUGCGUCUGAUACUGGAUGGCUUGAGUGUGGGAGAGGGAUGCGGAAUUCCAGGUGUAGCGGUGAAAUGCGUAGAUAUCUGGAGGAACACCGGUGGCGAAGGCGGCAUCCUGGACCACGACUGACGCUGAGGCGCGAAAGCUAGGGUAGCAAACGGG